AUGGAAAAAGGGGGCGGGAAUAAAACAACUGGUUUGUUGUGUGUGUCAUAAGAUACGCAGCAAGUUUAGACGAAGUUGAAACAAAGUUUUUAUUUAAUUCUCGCUAAACAUGCAGUGGUUUACGAAGUUUUAACGCCAGAACAAAAGACUCAUGCAGAGAUUUUACCAUGUUGAUCUGGUUGAAUCUUCUUCUGCUGUGCUUUCUCAAUUUUAGUGGAACCACCACUUUAUCUGUGAGAGGAAGAAAGGGAGACAUCGUCACUCUGCCUUGUCAUUUUGAGACCAGAGAACUUUUUCAGAUUAGUUUAAACACUCGGUCAGAAAACAUAGAUGUGUGUCAGACUGAAGAAUGUAGUGGACGAGUGUUUAAAGGGGGAA
Cyprinus carpio (common carp) is the source of this 378-nucleotide long non-coding RNA. RefSeq lists it as uncharacterized. The transcript is spliced from 3 exons. The record is from RefSeq and is a predicted model, not a curated record. NCBI's taxonomy places the organism in Eukaryota, Metazoa, Chordata, Actinopteri, Cypriniformes, Cyprinidae.